AUUAAUAAUACAAGGAAGGCAAUCAGGACCGCGCUGACUCGGCCGCCUGCUUUGUCUUUUUAUCGCCGCCACCAGCAGCGGCACCAUCGUCUUUCUUAGGUCGGGGAGAGAGAAUCUUGACUUACCUCUUGGUCUUCUCUUCAAGCUUGGCUUUGAUUUUUGCUGGGUCCACUUUCCCCGUCACCGGUAGUUUCUUCUCUUUCUCCUUUUUCGGCGGAACCACCUCCACCGCUAUCCUUAGUUCUUUUUUUAGGCACGGUGCCAAGUCCUUCACGUCCAUUGUUCCCUUCACAGUGACCAGAUUCUCCUCGGCGUCCACAGUCACGCUGCGCACACCUGUUUUUAAUUAGCCACGUCAGCCAUCUAUUUUUUACUAUUUUACCACCGACUUUGAAUAUUUAGAUUUAAUAAGUUAGUUUGAUCUAAUAAUCAAAUGUAUAAUUAACUAAUUACCUUUGAUUUUGGAGAUGAUUUUCUCUACAUUUGAAAUGCAACCUUCACAGUUUUCACAGUGUAGCCUGAAUUUCAAAACGACGGUACUCUGCAAGCACCAAGAGUUAUUAAAAAUUAGUUAAAAAAUAAUAACAAUAGAAAACAAAAGGAUAAUCAACGUCUAUAUUCACGAUUAAAUCUUAGUAGCACUAAGGCUCCGUUUGUUUGCAGGAAAGUGAAUUCCUUUUGAAAAGUGAAUUCCGGGGAAAGUGAAUUCCGGGAAAGUGAAUUCCGGGGAAAGUGAAUUCCGGGAAAGUGAAUUCCAGGAAAGUAUUUUCCGAUGUUUGGUAAUGUUAUAGAAAAUGAACUGGAAAACACUUUCCAGUGUUUGGUUGUGUUAUGGAAAACGAACUGGAAAAUAAUUUAUUAAUGAAUUAAUUUUUUUUUCAAGUUUAUCUAAUAUAUAAAAAAUAUUUAAUAUAAAAUAUUUACUCAUUUACAAUAAAAAAUUGAAAUCUAAAAAGUAUAAUGAUGAUUUUUUUUAUUAUAUCCUAUAUUCAUACAUAGCUUAUUUUAUAAAAUAUAACUAUAUAUGUCAUAUCAUAUUAUAGAGAAAUAAGCUUGUAAAAUAUUUUUAAAAGAUAAAUACAUACAAAAAUAUUUUUAUGGUUUUUUUUAAUCCAUAUGUAACAAAUAAAAUCAAACACUAAUCAAUAAUUAAUCAAAGUAAAAUAAAACAAGCAUAUUUAUACAUAUAGCAAAAUAAAGCAAUAAUUGUGGCAGCAAAAUCAUGCGUUUUAAAGUGUUAUCACUUAUCAAUGUUUUUAUAUUAAUUCCCUUUAUUAACAGCAUCUCGGUGGAUUCCUUGUUAAACUUCCUCUUGUUUAUACAUAUAGCAAAACACCGGUUUCAGUCCCCUGUUCCCCUGUUCAGUUUCAGUUUCCUUCCCCUUGUUUAUACAUACAGCAAAACACCGGUUUCAGUCCCCUGUUCCCCUGUUCCCCUGUUCAGUUUCAGUUUCCUUCCCCUUUCCCUGUUCAGUUCUGUUCGGUCUUCCCCCAGUUUCUCUCAUCCCCUUCCCCUUCCCUGUUCGGUUUCAGUCUCUCUCAUCCCCUUCCCCUUCCCCUGUUCAGUUUCUGUCAUCCCCUUCCCCUUCCCCUAUACGGUUGCUCUCGGUUUCUCUCAUUCCCCUACCCCUUCCCCUUCCCCUGUUCCCUCUCAGAUUCUCGGCUAUACCUCAAAAACCCGCUUUUAAUUACCAGAUCUCCUCCCUCUCUCCCCCGACUACUUCUACUGGGAAUUGAAAAAAAAGAGAUCAAAGAUUGAUUAAUUCCUUGAUAUGGUGGCUAAUUGCAGUUAUACACAUUGCCUCUCUCUUUAUGCUUCCACCCGGGAUAUGGUGGCUGGAUCCGGGAGUAGGGACUGCUUUUUGCUGGGGAAGUUCGGGCAUUUUCUUUGAUUGAUUCACAGUAAUCUUCAGGGUAGGGAUUGUUUGGGCAUUUUCUUUGAUUUUGCUUUGAUUUGUGGAUUGUUUGGUUACGGUUCUGCAGGUUGUGUUGAAAUAAGAAUGGAAAAAAAUGUACUUGGCUUGAUUUAUGAAUUUCGGUUGUUUUGAAGGAGAAAACUGUGUUAUGUUACGGGAAAAAUAUGACAGUUAGCAUAUUUAUCAAGAAAAAUAUGUGUAAUGAGAAAGAAAGGAAAGUGUUUUCCUUUGUUUAUCAAAAGGAAAACACUUUCCUCCGCUAAAGUAAUGUUUUCAGUUUUGACCGGAAUUCUAAUUCCGUUGACUAAUUUUUUAUAGUGGUGCCAAACAUGGGAAACUAGGGAAAAUGAAUUCCAGGAAUUGGUUUUCCUGGAAACAAACAAGGCAUAAUUUACUUAUUUAUUUACCUCUAGAGGUGGUUUUUUCGCUUCUUCCUUCUUCCCCUCCGAUUUCUUAUCGGCCUUUUUAUCGCCGCCACCAGCAGCGGCACAAUCGUCUUUCUUAGGUUCAAGCCUGGCUUUGAUUUUUGGUUGGUCCACUUUCCCCGUCACCGUUAGUUUCUUCUCUUUAGGAACCCCCUCCACCGCAAUCCUUAGUUCCUCUUUUAGGUACGGUGCCAAGGCCUUCACGUCCAUUGUUCCCUUCACAGUGACCAGAUUCUUCGCCGCGUCCAGAGUCACGCUGAGCACACCUGUUUUUAAUUAGCCACGUCAGCCAUCUAUUUUUUACUAUUAGAUUUAAUAUGUUAGUUUGAUCUAAUAAUCAAAUGUAUAAUUAACUAAUUACCUUUGAUUUUCAGUACUUUUGAAAUGCAACCUUCAUAGUGUUCACAGUGUAGCCUGAAUUUCAAAACGACGGUACUCUGCAAGCACCAAGAGUUAUUAAAAAUUAGUUAAAAAAUAAUAACAAUAGAAAACAAAAGGAUAAUCAACGUCUAUAUUCACGAUUAAAUCUUAGUAGCAGUAAUUUACUUAUUUAUUUACCUCUGGAGGUGGUUUUUUCGCUUCUACCUUCUUCCCCUCCGAUUUCUUAUCGGCCUUUUUAUCGCCGCCACCAGCAGCGACACCAUCGUCUUUCUUAGGUUGGGGAGAGAGAAUCUCGACUUUCCUCUUGGUCUUCUCUUCAAGCGUGGCUUUGAUUUUUGCUGGGUCCACUUUCCCCGUCACCGUUAGUUUGUUGCCGGCACAAUCUGUCUUCAUACCUUCCAC
This 3123-nucleotide long non-coding RNA is filed under the name Populus tremula. Its description in RNAcentral is "long non-coding RNA (PTRE_LNC002551)". Lineage: Eukaryota; Viridiplantae; Streptophyta; Magnoliopsida; Malpighiales; Salicaceae. The record is from RNAcentral.